UACGGAGGGGGUUAGCGUUGUUCGGAAUUACUGGGCGUAAAGCGCGCGUAGGUGGAUUAGAAAGUUGGGGGUGAAAUCCCGGGGCUCAACCUCGGAACUGCCUCCAAAACUGCUAGUCUAGAGUUCGAGAGAGGUGAGUGGAAUUCCGAGUGUAGAGGUGAAAUUCGUAGAUAUUCGGAGGAACACCAAUGGCGAAGGCGGCUCACUGGCUCGAUACUGACGCUGAGGUGCGAAAGUGUGGGGAGCAAACAGG
Molecule: ribosomal RNA, 253 nt
Filed under: uncultured bacterium
Lineage: Bacteria
Description: partial 16S ribosomal RNA
Rfam family: Bacterial small subunit ribosomal RNA
Source: RNAcentral